AUUGAACUCUGGCGGCAGGCCUAACACAUGCAAGUCGGGCGAGCUGCGGACGGGUGAGUAAUGUAUGGGGAUCUUCCUGAUGGCUGGGGAUCACUACUGGAAACGGUAGCUUAUACCGCCUACCAUCAGAUGAACCCAUAUGGGAUUAGCUUGUAGGUGGGGGAACGGCUCACCUAGGCGACGAUCCCUAGCUGGUCUGAGAGGAUGAUCAGCAACACUGGGACGGAGACAGGGCCCAGACUCCUACGGAAGGCGGAAGUGGGGAAUAUUGCACAAUGAGCGCAAGCCUGAGGCAGAAAUGCGGCGGGUAGGAAGAAGGCCUUAGGGUUGUAAAGUACUUUAAGCGGGAAGGCGUUACCCGAAGAAGAAGCACCGGCUAACUCCGUGCCAGCCGCCGCGGUAAUAC
Molecule: ribosomal RNA, 406 nt
Filed under: uncultured bacterium
Lineage: Bacteria
Description: partial 16S ribosomal RNA
Rfam family: Bacterial small subunit ribosomal RNA
Source: RNAcentral